This is a non-coding RNA of Acanthosepion pharaonis, 113 nucleotides long. The record is from the annotation of a GenBank genome assembly. NCBI's taxonomy places the organism in Eukaryota, Metazoa, Mollusca, Cephalopoda, Sepiida, Sepiidae.
UACAGCCACAUCACGUUGAAACACUGAUUCCUGUACAAUUACCAAAGUUAAGCAAUUUCAAACCUGGUCAGUACUGAGAUGGGUGACUGCUUGGGAAUACCAGGUGUUGUAAG